AACGAACGCUGGCGGCAGGCCUAACACAUGCAAGUCGAGCGGACCUUUCGGGGUCAGCGGCGGACGGGUGAGUAACGCGUGGGAAUAUGCCCUUCUCUACGGAAUAGUCCUGGGAAACUGGGGGUAAUACCGUAUACGCCCUUUGGGGGAAAGAUUUAUCGGGGAAGGAUUAGCCCGCGUUGGAUUAGGUAGUUGGUGGGGUAAUGGCCUACCAAGCCGACGAUCCAUAGCUGGUUUGAGAGGAUGAUCAGCCACACUGGGACUGAGACACGGCCCAGACUCCUACGGGAGGCAGCAGUGGGGAAUCUUAGACAAUGGGGGCAACCCUGGUCUAGCCAUGCCGCGUGAGUGAUGAAGGCCUUAGGGUUGUAAAGCUCUUUCAGCUGGGAAGAUAAUGACGGUACCAGCAGAAGAAGCCCCGGCUAACUCCGUG
RNAcentral lists this ribosomal RNA (433 nucleotides) under uncultured bacterium. Its description in RNAcentral is "partial 16S ribosomal RNA". It matches the Rfam family "Bacterial small subunit ribosomal RNA", at positions 29 to 507 of the family's 1533-position model. The record is from RNAcentral.